CCUACGGGAGGCUGCAGUGGGGAAUAUUGCGCAAUGGGCGCAAGCCUGACGCAGCGACGCCGCGUGAGGGAUGAAGGUCUUCGGAUCGUAAACCUCUGUCAGCAGGGAAGAACGGUCACUGUGCUAAUCAGCAGUGAAUUGACGGUACCUGCAAAGGAAGCACCGGCUAACUCCGUGCCAGCAGCCGCGGUAAUACGGAGGGUGCGAGCGUUAAUCGGAAUUACUGGGCGUAAAGCGCUCGUAGGCGGUAUGUCAAGUCAAGGGUGAAAUCCCCGCGCUUAACGUGGGAACUGCCUUUGAUACUGGCAAACUGGAGUGUGUGAGAGGAUAGUAGAAGUCCAGGUGUAGCAGUGAAAUGCGUAGAGAUGUGGAGGAACACCAGAGGCGAAGGCGACUAUUUGGCACAUAACUGACGCUGAGGAGCGAAAGCGUGGGUAGCAAACAGGAUUAGAUACCCUGGUAGUC
Molecule: ribosomal RNA, 465 nt
Filed under: uncultured bacterium
Lineage: Bacteria
Description: partial 16S ribosomal RNA
Rfam family: Bacterial small subunit ribosomal RNA
Source: RNAcentral